CUCUGGUGUUGCUGCUGAAGGUCCCUCACCAGCUUCUUAUGCAUCGCCUCCAUAGUAGUGAAACCCUCAUCAUAGGACGCCUGAAUUUAAGUGCAGCAUAGGGCCGAUGCUGCAAAUUCCUGUUCAACUGCUGGAGGCGAGACAACUCCUUCUGCGUUUGCUCCAGCUGCAGAGAUGAGAUGGAGCUGAUGGACGCCUGUCCCUCCUGCCUCAGGGGUGUGGCUUCAACUUGCUGCCUCCUCUGUUCAUUGUGGCCUUUGUCAUAUCCCUCAUCAUUCGGAGGCUCCAGUGUGGAUGCUGAGCUGCUGUCAUCAGCAUCUCCAUCUUCAGACUGGGGGUCUGUAACACCGGGCGAUGUACCAGCCCCACCAGCUGCACAGAAGGACAAACAUAGUAAUUUAGACUCCAGUGUAAAGCAUUACAUAGUAAACCCCCCUG
Long non-coding RNA from Lampris incognitus (smalleye Pacific opah), 438 nucleotides. RefSeq lists it as uncharacterized. The transcript is spliced from 3 exons. Lineage: Eukaryota; Metazoa; Chordata; Actinopteri; Lampriformes; Lampridae. The record is from RefSeq and is a predicted model, not a curated record.